GACGAACGCUGGCGGCGUGCUUAACACAUGCAAGUCGAGGGCACUAUGGGGGCAACCUUGUAGUGACCGGCGAACGGGUGCGUAACACGUGAGCGACCUUGCCUCGUGGUGGGGGAUAGCCGGCCCAACGGCCGGGUAAUACCGCAUAUGGUGCUUCUCUCGCAUGGGAGAGGUAGCAAAGCUGAGUCGCAAGACUUGGCGCCACAGGGGGGCUCGCGGCCUAUCAGCAGUUGGGGGGUAAUGGCCCACCAAGGCGACGACGGGUAGCUGGUCUGAGAGGAUGGCCAGCCACAUUGGGACUGAGAGACGGCCCAGACUCCUACGGGAGGCAGCAGUGGGGAAUCUUGCGCAAUGGCCGAAAGGCUGACGCAGCGACGCCGCGUGUGGGAGGAAGCUCGUUCGGGGU
RNAcentral lists this ribosomal RNA (406 nucleotides) under uncultured bacterium. RNAcentral's name for it is "bacterial SSU rRNA". It matches the Rfam family "Bacterial small subunit ribosomal RNA", at positions 28 to 424 of the family's 1533-position model. The record is from RNAcentral.